CAGCUAAAAAGCUCGUAGUUGGAUUUCGGAGUGGGCCAGUUGGUCCGCCGCAAGGUGUGUUACUGACUGGUUUGCUCUUCUUCGCAAAGACUGCGUGUGCUCUUGAGUGAGUGUGCGUAGGAUUUACGACGCUUACUUUGAAAAAAUUAGAGUGUUCAAAGCAGGCUAUUGCUUGAAUACAUGAGCAUGGAAUAAUGGAAUAGGACUUUGGUCCCAUUUUGUUGGUUUCUAGGGCCGAAGUAAUGAUUAAGAGGGACAAUUGGGGGCAUCCGUAUUUCGUUGUCAGAGGUGAAAUUCUUGGAUUUACGAAAGACGAACAACUGCGAAAGCACUUGCCAAGAGUGUUUUCAUUAAUCAAGAACGAAAGUUAGAGGAUCGAAGACGAUCAGAUACCGUCCUAGUUCUAACCAUAAACGAUGUCGACUAGGGAUCAGCGGGCGUUAUCGUACGACCCCGUUGGCACCUUACGGGAAACCAAAGUUUUUGGAUUCCGGGGGAAGUAUGGUUGCAAAGCUGAAACUUAAAGGAAUUGACGGAAGGGCACCACCAGGAGUGGAGCCUGUGGCUCAAUUUGACUCAACACGGGAAAACUUACCAGGUCCAGACAUAGUAAGGAUUGACAGGUUGAGAGCCCUUUCU
Molecule: ribosomal RNA, 639 nt
Filed under: uncultured marine eukaryote
Lineage: Eukaryota
Description: SSU rRNA
Rfam family: Eukaryotic small subunit ribosomal RNA
Source: RNAcentral